GGAUAUAAUUGGUACUGUACUUUUCUUUUUCUUUAGAGCUAUUUCCGAAUUAUGGUUCAGCAGCUCUUUCAUCGCAUUAACUUUAUGAUCAACUCAGAUGCUUCCCAGUAAAAUGCAUGCAUAUAUGCAUGCUCAAUUGCUCAUGAUCUGGUAUUGGUAUUUGUAGGAAGUUGUUGCUCCAUCCAAAUGGAAGUAACCAAGUAAAGAGUAAAGAUCAUAUAUCUCUUUCUUGGACUGGUUGGGAAGUUCAUGCGCAGGUAAGCUUGUUUAUGUAUGAUCAGAUCAAGGAUGACAAGUACGUGACAUUUGAAGGUAAUUUUUUCUUGGCAUAUAGUAUAUUCAAUAGAAUUAAUUUUUAUGCAGUAUCGCUUGAACAUACCAAUAUGUCAUGUACUCAUCAUGUUGAUGCCCAGAUGAUGGAGACAGAAUUCGAAGAUUUAAUCGGGUGAAGACAGAGUGGGGGUACGCUAAGCUCAUACCA
RNAcentral lists this long non-coding RNA (481 nucleotides) under Aquilegia coerulea. RNAcentral's name for it is "long non-coding RNA (ACOE_LNC001101)". The record is from RNAcentral. Lineage: Eukaryota; Viridiplantae; Streptophyta; Magnoliopsida; Ranunculales; Ranunculaceae.